Molecule: ribosomal RNA, 460 nt
Filed under: uncultured bacterium
Lineage: Bacteria
Description: partial 16S ribosomal RNA
Rfam family: Bacterial small subunit ribosomal RNA
Source: RNAcentral
UGGGGAAUAUUGGACAAUGGGGGCAACCCUGAUCCAGCAAUGCCGCGUGUGUGAAGAAGGUCUUCGGAUUGUAAAGCACUUUCGACGGGGACGAUGAUGACGGUACCCGUAGAAGAAGCCCCGGCUAACUUCGUGCCAGCAGCCGCGGUAAUACGAAGGGGGCUAGCGUUGCUCGGAAUGACUGGGCGUAAAGGGCGUGUAGGCGGUUUACACAGUCAGAUGUGAAAUCCCCGGGCUUAACCUGGGAGCUGCAUUUGAUACGUGUAGACUAGAGUGUGAGAGAGGGUUGUGGAAUUCCCAGUGUAGAGGUGAAAUUCGUAGAUAUUGGGAAGAACACCGGUGGCGAAGGCGGCAACCUGGCUCAUGACUGACGCUGAGGCGCGAAAGCGUGGGGAGCAAACAGGUUAGAUACCCUGGUAGUCCACGCCUGUAAACGAUGUGUGCUAGAUGUUGGGUACUU